Molecule: ribosomal RNA, 253 nt
Filed under: uncultured bacterium
Lineage: Bacteria
Description: partial 16S ribosomal RNA
Rfam family: Bacterial small subunit ribosomal RNA
Source: RNAcentral
UACGGAGGAUGCAAGCGUUAUCCGGAAUGAUUGGGCGUAAAGCGUCCGCAGGUGGCAAUGUAAGUCUGCUGUUAAAGAGUCUAGCUCAACUAGAUAAAAGCAGUGGAAACUACAUAGCUAGAGUACGUUCGGGGCAGAGGGAAUUCCUGGUGUAGCGGUGAAAUGCGUAGAGAUCAGGAAGAACACCAGUGGCGAAGGCGCUCUGCUAGGCCGUAACUGACGCUGAGGAGCGAAAGCGUGGGGAGCGAACAGG